This 501-nucleotide ribosomal RNA is filed under the name uncultured organism. RNAcentral's name for it is "bacterial SSU rRNA". It matches the Rfam family "Bacterial small subunit ribosomal RNA", at positions 29 to 507 of the family's 1533-position model. The record is from RNAcentral.
AGCGAACGUUCGCGGCGCGCCUAACACAUGCAAGUCGCACGAGAAAGGGCUUCGGCCCCAGUAAAGUGGCGCACGGGUGCGUAACACGUAGGCAAUCUUCCCUAGAGCGGGGGAUAACGUUCCGAAAGGAACGCUAAUACCGCAUAAGACCACGUCUACUUCGGUAGAUGAGGUAAAAGCCGGCCUCUUCUUGAAAGCUGGCACUUUAGGUCGAGCCUGCGGCCCAUCAGCUAGUUGGUAAGGUAACGGCUUACCAAGGCAAAGACGGGUAGCUGGUCUGAGAGGAUGAUCAGCCACACUGGCACUGAAACACGGGCCAGACUCCUACGGGAGGCAGCAGUGGGGAAUCUUGGUCAAUGGGCGCAAGCCUGAACCAGCGACGCCGCGUGAGUGAUGAAGGCCUUCGGGUUGUAAAGCUCUGUGGGUAGGGAAGAAAAAAGCGGGCGCGAAUAGCUCCCGCUCUUGACGGUACCUACUUAGCAAGCACCGGCUAACUCUGUG